UACGUAGGCAGCAAGCGUUGUUCGGAAUUAUUGGGCGUAAAGAGUAUGUAGGCGGUUCACUAAGUCUGAUGUGAAAUCUCCCGGCUUAACUGGGAGGGUGCGUCGGAUACUGGUGGGCUCGAGUACGGGAGAGGGAAGCGGAAUUCCUGGUGUAGCGGUGAAAUGCGUAGAUAUCAGGAGGAACACCGGUGGUGUAGACGGCUUCCUGGACCGUAACUGACGCUGAGAUACGAAAGCGUGGGUAGCAAACAGG
RNAcentral lists this ribosomal RNA (253 nucleotides) under uncultured bacterium. Its description in RNAcentral is "partial 16S ribosomal RNA". It matches the Rfam family "Bacterial small subunit ribosomal RNA", at positions 524 to 776 of the family's 1533-position model. The record is from RNAcentral.